CGAAAGGAGGCCAGAGACGUUCUGAGAGAUGCUGGAAUUUGCCACAGGGCUCGGGUGCAGCUGUACACCAAAAGGGGACAUCGCUGCGGGGAGAGAGACAGGAGCCCACUGCUGCUGACAGGGCUAAUUUCCUCCUGCCUACUAUUCCGAGUCAUGAGAUCAUGAGGAUCUGCUGCUGUAAAACACUCUGUAACACCUGGAAAAAAGUUACCGUGCUUUGAAGUCAUGUAGCACUCUUCAGGCGAGAAUCGCAAGGCACGCCGCAAACACUUGGAGCCAGAUCAAGGGAACGCUGCGAGUUCAACUCUAAUCCACAUUUUCUUCCUCCUGUGAAAUGAACUCAGAAUUACCAAGGCUUCUUGGUCCAGCUACAAGGGAGCUCUGGCCCAGGUAAAAA
Molecule: long non-coding RNA, 397 nt
Organism: Grus americana (Whooping crane)
Lineage: Eukaryota; Metazoa; Chordata; Aves; Gruiformes; Gruidae
Exons: 3
Source: RefSeq, a predicted model, not a curated record